GAGCUGGUGGAGGGGGCCGCCCGCCACGUCAGCGCCCGCCCGCCUCGGCGCUCCGCCCGGCUCUCCCGGGCCUCCCCAUAGAAGGUACAUGACUAGCCAAAGCUGGGAGAAGGGGAGGACUGGACUGAAGCUCAUGAAUUAGGCCAUGCUGUCACUGUCCUGGGUUUCAGGAGGAAAGGAAGAGAAGCCCAGUGAAGAUUAUGGAGGAAAGCCUCAGGAAGGAGGUGAAGCAGGGACUACCCUUCUGGAACCUCCAUCAACUCUCCUGGCUACGUGAGCAGUUGACGUGCAACCAAAGGCCUGCAUGCUUCCCCCUCUCCAGACAGGUUUCUCUGGAACCCCAACAGACAGACAGACAGUGAUCUUUCUCCUCUCCAGACAACAUCCUCAGCUGCCGCCGCUGACUCAGCCUCCCCGCCCUCCCCGUGGGUGGAGUAGGUAGGCAGCCUGUCCCUGGGGUUGAAGUUGUAGGUGACAUAAGGGUAUAGUUGCAAACGUCUGCAGAUAGGAGACCUCUGAUUUCUCCCCAAACCUUGGGACAUUCACAGCUCUCUCUCCUUUACCUGUCAGUCAGCCCCACCUUCCAGUUCCAAACCCAGACAACCAUCAGUUCCUUCUGUAGUAGACUGGAACACAGUGUCCCUGGAGGCACAGAAGGCCCUAGCUGAAAUGGCCUUUGGGACUAGCUAGCAUUCCCUUUGAGGAGAAACAGACUGCCCACCCAUUCCAGGAAGGCCCAGGAGGCCUGGCUACAACAUCUGAAAAGAGAGCAACUGACAUCCCAAGUGACUUUCUUGUUCAGCACAGCAGACACAGCACCUUGGGUCUAUAAGAAAAUGUUUUCAUAUAGAAUAGUAAGAUCUUUGCCUUUAUGUCAAUGUAGUUGUAAAGUAUAAUUUUACACACACACACACACACACACACACACACACAUUUUUCUGGAAAAGGGAGUCCACACAGGCAAAACUGCCUAGGGCCCAUGAAAAUCAUAUCACAGCCCUGCUUAUAUGGGGAUCAGCUUUCUCUUCUAUAAAAUACAGAUCACAAUACUUUCCACACCAUUCCACCUCCAGUUUCAUCAGUAUUCUGCCUAAACAUCACUGACCUUAACAUUUCCAGAUUUGAAAUGUUUAGAAGCCCCCCCACGUAUCCAAUGUGUAACAGCUAGAUUCCUUAGUGCUGCAUUUGAGGCCUUUCACUGUUUUCCACUUUGAGCUUCUACCAUUGUCCCCUUGUACACAACUCUCCGGCUAGGAACAUCAUACCUCGUGCUGCUUGUUCCGGGAACAGGCUGGACCUUGAGUUCCAGCAUGCCUUUGCACACUCAGGCCCCUUUUGCUUCAAAAGCAUUCCCUACCCCUUCUCUGCCUGAUGGUGUCCUAUGACAGCACAGCUAGUGAAGUUGCAGCAUCCAGUGAAAAAGAAAACGUGGGGCUCCUUGCCGAAAACUUGUUGAGAAUUUCAAGAUGGUAGAGGAGAACAUUCAACCAUGUAUGGGGCUCUUCUGUGCUCAUGGCCCUGUGGACCUGCCCAUGAAGCCAUCUCUGCCUACUCCUUUCCUGGGAACAUCUCAAAUGACACCUGAUUUUUGAAGCAGUUUUUACUCUUCAAGACCAGCAAUAGGAAGUCACAAAACGAAGCACUUCUUAUGUUCCAGGCAUCAUGCCAAGCACUUUACAGCCAAGGUUUUAUUUAAUCCUCACAACCACUCCACGAGAAAUCUGUUCCAAAACACUUGGAAAGCUCCUCCUAACAAGCCGAGGCUCAUUUGGCAUCACCUCUUACAGGAAGCCUUUCACAACUUCUAGCUCUUCCAAAGGCUGAGUUCCCAUAACGUCCAGGCUCACCUCUGGCCCAUAACUUACUGUAUUUACCACAACUGGGCUGAGAGACCUUUGAAGGUAAAAACAGUAUCCAAGUCAUCUCUGGAUCUCCAGCCUCCAGCCUGGGACCUCUUUGGCAUCUGGAAGCACACAUUAAUUCUCACAGAAACUCUUGGAGGUAGCUGCAAGAGCUGCUACCGACCUUGAUUAGAGUCAUUACAUAUGGACCUUCAUGAAUCAGAGGAAGAAUGAGGCCUGGAGUCAUAAAGGGGCUUGACUGAAGUCACAGGGCUCAUGGCAGGACCAGGAUCAAAAUAGGUCCCAGUGUGUGGCAGGUAAGUGGCAGGCUUGAAGGAAUGACUAACCGGGUGUGUUAUAAAUUCCUGACCCCCUCCCGCUGCAGCCCUGAUAGGACCACUUAGUUUCCACCAUGGACACUCCACUGUCCUUAUCCCAUGGGCUUUUGCUGGGCUAUUAGAAUCAAGUUCUCCCUCUUCUUAGCCCCCUUCUGACUUUGUGCCUUGAACUUGCAAGUUGGUCUUUUGCCUGAUGAGGAUGAUCUUGUUAAAUCUCUAUUAUGCAAACCAGGACUCUGUGGGAGCCCCACUACCUACCUUUUCCUCCAGUCAGUUUCCCAGAAGGCUAGAAUUUGGUCCCUGCUACCUUCUUUCCUGGCCAUUCCUAUCACCUGCUGUGAGACCUGAUAACAUGGUGUUUUCCUUGCCCCUGGGGAUACCUCUGUCAGCAUUGCCAAAAUACUUUGAUUGAUAUUUACUACUCUCGGCCUGAACUCCCUGUUGGCACUACACCUGGGGCAACUGGAGAUCACUAGAUCUGCCCGCUCUGCUCUUGGCAUCCUGAGUUCUCUUCUUCCCAUCCCUCCUGGUCAUACCUGAUACUGACACAUAAGUUGGCUUUUUAAGCUUGCUAUCUGUGUGACUUUUGCUUUUUGAAAACUGUCUUCCCUCUUCCAGUCAAGCAGUGCUUACUGGAUUAUUGACUUCCAAAGGCAGUGGUUCCCAAACUUAAGUGUACUUUAGAAACAUCUGGAGAGCUUGAUAAACAGCUCUGUACCCAGAAACUCUGGUUCAGUGAAUCUGGAGACAGGGCCUUGGAAUAUAUAUUUUUAAUGAGGCAGAUGCUAAGUAGACCAAAGUUGGAGAGAAGGUAGGCACUGUGGUAGUUAAUAAGAAUAACAGGAAUCUCACACAUGUGCAUUUUAUAUCAGUUUGUAAGAUAAUAUUAGUUCAUCUACCUCACCCUUGUGUUAGAACACAACAAAACAAUGAAACAAUACAAAAUACCUCCAUGAACUAGCAUAGAAAAUAAGGCUCUGGAGUCAGAGAAUCCAGGCCUCCACUUACUAACCAAAAGACCUUGGAGAAGUCACUUAACCUUUCUAACAUUGUGUUUGUCCAUCUAUUUUAAUGGAGAUCUUAAUUCCUUAGAGCUUUGUUGUGAAUAUUGAAUGACUUAUUGCAAAAUGGCCAUUUUAGUAUCCAAUAUAUGUUUGAAGAAUUAAGGAACAAAU
Long non-coding RNA from Cebus imitator (Panamanian white-faced capuchin), 3354 nucleotides. RefSeq lists it as uncharacterized. NCBI's taxonomy places the organism in Eukaryota, Metazoa, Chordata, Mammalia, Primates, Cebidae. The record is from RefSeq and is a predicted model, not a curated record. The transcript has 4 exons.